This 391-nucleotide unclassified non-coding RNA is filed under the name soil metagenome. Its description in RNAcentral is "partial contains 5.8S ribosomal RNA, internal transcribed spacer 2, and large subunit ribosomal RNA". The stretch from base 1 to 122 matches the Rfam family "5.8S ribosomal RNA", at positions 35 to 154 of the family's 154-position model. The record is from RNAcentral.
GAUGAAGAACGUAGCGAAAUGCGAUACUUGGUGUGAAUUGCAGAAUCCCGUGAACCAUCGAGUCUUUGAACGCAAGUUGCGCCCGAAGCCAUUAGGCCGAGGGCACGCCUGCCUGGGCGUCACACGUCGUUGCCCCCCCAUCUACUCCUUCGGGAUUGCGGGGGGCGGAUGAUGGCCUCCCGUGCGCCUCGCCGCGCGGUUGGCAUAAAUGCCAAGUCCUCGGCGACGCACGCCACGACAAUCGGUGGUUGCGAAACCUCGGUUGCCCGUCGUGUGCGGUCGUCGCGCAUCGAGGGCUCGAAAAAAUUGCCGGGUUCCGGCUCGGCUUUCAACGCGACCCCAGGUCAGGCGGGGUUACCCGCUGAUUUUAAGCAUAUCAAUAAGCGGAGGA